RNAcentral lists this ribosomal RNA (2940 nucleotides) under Edwardsiella piscicida. Its description in RNAcentral is "23S ribosomal RNA". It matches the Rfam family "Bacterial large subunit ribosomal RNA". The record is from RNAcentral. Lineage: Bacteria; Pseudomonadati; Pseudomonadota; Gammaproteobacteria; Enterobacterales; Hafniaceae.
GGGUUGUGAGGUUAAGUGACUAAGCGUACACGGUGGAUGCCUAGGCAGUCAGAGGCGAUGAAGGACGUGCUAAUCUGCGAUAAGCGUCGGUGAGCUGAUAUGAAGCGUUAUUAGCCGGCGAUGUCCGAAUGGGGAAACCCAGUGCAAUCCGUUGCACUAUCGUUAAGUGAAUACAUAGCUUAACGAGGCGAACCAGGGGAACUGAAACAUCUAAGUACCCUGAGGAAAAGAAAUCAACCGAGAUUCCCCUAGUAGCGGCGAGCGAACGGGGAAGAGCCCAGAACCUGAAUCAGUUUGUGCAUUAGUGGAAGCGUCUGGAAAGUCGCGCGAUACAGGGUGAUAGCCCCGUACACGAAGGUGCACAGCUGUGAGUUCGAUGAGUAGGGCGGGACACGUGUUAUCCUGUCUGAAUAUGGGGGACCAUCCUCCAAGGCUAAAUACUCCUGACUGACCGAUAGUGAACCAGUACCGUGAGGGAAAGGCGAAAAGAACCCCGGCGAGGGGAGUGAAAUAGAACCUGAAACCGUGUACGUACAAGCAGUGGGAGCAUCCUUCGGGGUGUGACUGCGUACCUUUUGUAUAAUGGGUCAGCGACUUAUAUUUUGUAGCAAGGUUAACCGAAUAGGGGAGCCGUAGGGAAACCGAGUCUUAACUGGGCGUCUAGUUGCAAGGUAUAGACCCGAAACCCGGUGAUCUAGCCAUGGGCAGGUUGAAGGUUGGGUAACACUAACUGGAGGACCGAACCGACUAAUGUUGAAAAAUUAGCGGAUGACUUGUGGCUGGGGGUGAAAGGCCAAUCAAACCGGGAGAUAGCUGGUUCUCCCCGAAAGCUAUUUAGGUAGCGCCUCGUGAACUCAUCUUCGGGGGUAGAGCACUGUUUCGGCUAGGGGGUCAUCCCGACUUACCAACCCGAUGCAAACUACGAAUACCGAAGAAUGUUAUCACGGGAGACACACGGCGGGUGCUAACGUCCGUCGUGAAGAGGGAAACAACCCAGACCGCCAGCUAAGGUCCCAAAGUCAUGGUUAAGUGGGAAACGAUGUGGGAAGGCAUAGACAGCCAGGAUGUUGGCUUAGAAGCAGCCAUCAUUUAAAGAAAGCGUAAUAGCUCACUGGUCGAGUCGGCCUGCGCGGAAGAUGUAACGGGGCUAAACCAUGCACCGAAGCUGCGGCAGCGACGCUUAGGCGUUGUUGGGUAGGGGAGCGUUCUGUAAGCCUGCGAAGGUGGCCUGUGAGGGCUGCUGGAGGUAUCAGAAGUGCGAAUGCUGACAUAAGUAACGAUAAAGCGGGUGAAAAGCCCGCUCGCCGGAAGACCAAGGGUUCCUGUCCAACGUUAAUCGGGGCAGGGUAAGUCGACCCCUAAGGCGAGGCUGAAAAGCGUAGUCGAUGGGAAACAGGUUAAUAUUCCUGUACUUGGUGUUAUUGCGAAGGGGGGGACGGAGAAGGCUAGACCGGCCGGGCGACGGUUGUCCCGGUUUAAGCGUGUAGGUGUGGUAACUUGGCAAAUCCGGUUACCUUUAACACUGAGGCGUGAUGACGAGGCACUACGGUGCUGAAGUGGUUAAUGCCCUGCUUCCAGGAAAAGCCUCUAAGCUCCAGAUAACACUGAAUCGUACCCCAAACCGACACAGGUGGUCAGGUAGAGAAUACCAAGGCGCUUGAGAGAACUCGGGUGAAGGAACUAGGCAAAAUGGUGCCGUAACUUCGGGAGAAGGCACGCUGGCACGUAGGUGAAGUCCCUUGCGGAUGGAGCCGAAGCCAGUCGAAGAUACCAGCUGGCUGCAACUGUUUAAUAAAAACACAGCACUCUGCAAACACGAAAGUGGACGUAUAGGGUGUGACGCCUGCCCGGUGCUGGAAGGUUAAUUGAUGGGGUCAGCCGCAAGGCGAAGCUCUUGAUCGAAGCCCCAGUAAACGGCGGCCGUAACUAUAACGGUCCUAAGGUAGCGAAAUUCCUUGUCGGGUAAGUUCCGACCUGCACGAAUGGCGUAAUGAUGGCCAGGCUGUCUCCACCCGAGACUCAGUGAAAUUGAACUCGCUGUGAAGAUGCAGUGUACCCGCGGCAAGACGGAAAGACCCCGUGAACCUUUACUAUAGCUUGACACUGAACAUUGAACCUUGAUGUGUAGGAUAGGUGGGAGGCUUUGAAGUGUGGACGCCAGUCUGCAUGGAGCCGACCUUGAAAUACCACCCUUUAAUGUUUGAUGUUCUAACCUGGCCCCGUGAUCCGGGGUAGGGACAGUGUCUGGUGGGUAGUUUGACUGGGGCGGUCUCCUCCCAAAGAGUAACGGAGGAGCACGAAGGUUAGCUAAUCCUGGUCGGACAUCAGGAGGUUAGUGCAAAGGCAUAAGCUAGCUUGACUGCGAGAGUGACGGCUCGAGCAGGUGCGAAAAGCAGGUCUUAGUGAUCCGGUGGUUCUGAAUGGAAGGGCCAUCGCUCAACGGAUAAAAAGGUACUCCGGGGAUAACAGGCUGAUACCGCCCAAGAGUUCAUAUCGACGGCGGUGUUUGGCACCUCGAUGUCGGCUCAUCACAUCCUGGGGCUGAAGUAGGUCCCAAGGGUAUGGCUGUUCGCCAUUUAAAGUGGUACGCGAGCUGGGUUUAGAACGUCGUGAGACAGUUCGGUCCCUAUCUGCCGUGGGCGUAGGAAGAUUGAGAGGGGCUGCUCCUAGUACGAGAGGACCGGAGUGGACGCACCGCUGGUGUUCGGGUUGUGAUGCCAAUUGCAUUGCCCGGUAGCUACGUGCGGAAAAGAUAAGCGCUGAAAGCAUCUAAGCGCGAAACUUGCCUCGAGAUGAGUCUUCCCUUGGACCUUGAGUCCACUGAAGGAACGUUUAAGACUAAGACGUUGAUAGGCUGGGUGUGUAAGCGUAGCGAUACGUUGAGCUAACCAGUACUAAUGAUCCGUGAGACUUAACCUUACAACACCGAAGGUGUUUUAG